AUUACCAUGGAUUAAAGCUGGACAACUGAAACAACAGAAAGCCCAUGGAAACUAAACAACUCUCUACUCAAUGAUCACCAGACAGGAACCUAGCAUCACUGUCAUCUGAGAGGCUCUACCCAGAAGCCAAUGGAAAAAGAUGCAAAGACUCAUACCCAAACAUUAGGUGGAGCUCAGGGAGUCAUAUGGAAGAGUUGAGAGAAGGGUUGAGGAAUCCGAAGAGAAAAGGAAUACUACAGGAAGACCAACAGAGUCAACUAACAUGGACCCUUGGAAGCUCCCAGAGAACAAAUCACCAACCAAAGAAUAUACACAGGAUGGAUGUAGGCCCUCUGCACAUAUGUAAAAGGGCAAGCUCCAUGCUCAGGAAUAGUCAGCCAACACAUAUUGGACUCCAUGCUUACUACAAAAGAUGGCUGGAGCAGGGGGUAAUUAAUUGUCUUUGUCUCCCAUGUAAGAUUUACCUUAUCAGGGUGAAAUGGAUAUGGCUUAAUGUAUGUGUGAGAGUGGGGGUGAGUCUGGGAGGAUUGGAAGAGGGAAAAGAAUAUAUGAUCAAAAUAUAUCAUGUGACAUUUUCAAAGAAUAAAUAGAAACUGGUUUGAGGGGGCUAGAGAAAGAUUCAGCAGUUAAGACUCUUGCUGCUCUUGCAAAGAACCCAUGUUUGGCUCUCAGCAUUCACAUUCAGUGACUCACAACCACUGUAACUCCAACUCCAGGGGAUCUGCACACCAUCUUCUUACAGCUGAAACACACACACGAACAUGUAUAUGUGAAUGCACACCCAUACACCCACUCACCCACCCCACCCUACAUCAUCCCCACACACAGACACAAAUUUUUUGAAAAUCUUUAAAAAAUAUUUUUAUCAAAGUUUCUACAUAUAUGUAUAAAAAUGCACAAUUCUAUUUAUAAUAUAAACACUGUUUUAUAUCAUAUAUUAUAUUUAUAUAUUAUACAUUCCUCACAAUGUAUAUUUAUAAUUAUUAAAUAAUUAUAGUUGUAUCUUUUUAAUUGACUUCCCGAUGAAUUGGCAUUCUUUGCUGCCUUGCCCUUUUAUGAUUUCAGAUCUAUUUCAUUUUGACAUGUCAUCACAUUGUAUUUUGGUCUACAAAGUUUUGUUUUUCCUGAGAAAUCCACCCAUACUUUUGUGAAGGGAUUCCUUUCAUGUGACAAAUGGCUUUACUUUUUUUUGUUUUUUAUAACUCUUUGACUUUGACUUUGAUAAUUCAAUUCUAAUACAGUACAAUAAUCUUUCUGUCAAAUGUUGAGAAUCUUUAGUCUUCCUUGUGAGUAUAUAUUUCUAGCCCUAAAUUUGGGGAUAUUUUAACCAUUGUUUCUUUUAAUAAUCUUUUUUCUCCAUCUCUUUUUCCUCUUAUAACUCCAGCUCUAGGAGUUCUGAUACCCUGAAUCUGGCACCUAAAGGCACCAUAUGUAUACAUAUAUUAUAAUGUAUUAGUCAAUUUUCUGUUGCUAUAAACAAGUGCCUGAGGCUGGGUACUUUAUAAAUAGAGUGGAUUUAUUCACCUCAUAGUUUGUGGGAAAUGACUGUCCAAGAUCAGUUAUUCUCAUCUGUUCAGCUUCUGCCAAGGACAUUUUGAUGUCUCAGAAAGAGAUGGACAGCAUGAUGGAAGGGCACAUGUGAAGUGGUACUACAUUGUGAAAAGACAGAAAGCCAGAGAGAUUCAGAGCUACCUAUAUGCAGGAGAUCAGAUUUUCUUCUGAGAUUUCAACCUAAGGAACUGAUCACAAUAAAAUGAAUACAGAAUCAAAUAUUAGGAUCUGUCAAUAAACAGAUUAUAAAAAUCCAA
This is a long non-coding RNA of Mus musculus (house mouse), 1808 nucleotides long. RefSeq annotates it as predicted gene, 33605. Lineage: Eukaryota; Metazoa; Chordata; Mammalia; Rodentia; Muridae. The record is from RefSeq and is a predicted model, not a curated record. The transcript is spliced from 4 exons.